RNAcentral lists this long non-coding RNA (1011 nucleotides) under Phasianus colchicus (ring-necked pheasant). RNAcentral describes it as "lncRNA (ENSPCLG00000011222.1)". The record is from RNAcentral. Lineage: Eukaryota; Metazoa; Chordata; Aves; Galliformes; Phasianidae.
AUGAGAGCACUUCAUACCUCCCUUAGUCAAGGAACUGCACCAAUAUGGAAAUUUCUCCAGUCUGUACAGACUGUGCAAGAGAACAGUCCAGAAAUCCCCAGUGGGUUUCCUCGAGGCUUUCUGGUAUGGGUCUCAGCAGCCCAGUGCUGCACUGUUGGGCACAGCAGGACAGGUCCCCAUGGGGCUGAGCUGCAUGGGACAGCUCUGUGCCCAGCAUGGCUCUGCCCCUCUCUGGGCUGCCCUCUGCUGCCUCCAUCCCCUCAGUGCCUCACACCCCCGGGCACGGGGCUCUGUGGGUGGGGGGUUUGUUGGAAAUGCUUUGGAAAUGUUGGAGCAUCAUUGGAAAUGCAUUCAGGCGUCGGUGCUGGGGAGGAAAAAGGUAUUUACAGGAGCAGCCCCCCCCAGAGCAAGGGGCUGAGAUGUGAUGCUACGUGCUGCGGGGAUGGGGAGGGGGAGGAAAGGGCGUUUUUAUCAAAAGGAAUGGAAGAGAAACAUCUCAGCGUGUUGAGCUGUGACUUCAACGAGGAAAAUGUGAGCGCCUGUAGUUUCCCGGAGCCAAAGGGGCUCUCUGUGCUCUCCGCUUUCAAAGCCAAAGCGUGUGGUUUUCUGGCAAAGGCAUCUGUUUCACUGAAAGGAAAGCUUGCCGAGGCGGGGGGGGGGGGGGGGGGGGGGGGGGGGGGGGGGGAACGUGGUGUCCCUCAGCCACAUCUGCAGCCUGCUGGAGCCUCCCACGUUGAGUGGGAACCGGCAGCACCCGGCACAGCCUCGGGGACGGCCGCAGAGCUUGACGUCAGGAGCACAGGAACCUCACGCUUCUUUCUGACGACUCCGUUUUUCAGAGGAAGUCGAACCAAAAAAAAAAAAAAAAAGAUAGAGAUGAAAAAAAAAAAAAAAGAAACCCAAAACCCCCAACCAACCUCAAGGAAAAAGAAUGUGGAAGUGGAAGGAGGGGGGAUUGGGGCACCCACGGGGGCUGCAGUGAUUCCCCUGCAGUGCGGAGAGUGCAUCUGA